UCGAACGGUAACAGGAAGCAGCUUGCUGCUUUGCUGACGAGUGGCGGACGGGUGAGUAAUGUCUGGGAAACUGCCUGAUGGAGGGGGAUAACUACUGGAAACGGUAGCUAAUACCGCAUAACGUCGCAAGACCAAAGAGGGGGACCUUCGGGCCUCUUGCCAUCGGAUGUGCCCAGAUGGGAUUAGCUAGUAGGUGGGGUAACGGCUCACCUAGGCGACGAUCCCUAGCUGGUCUGAGAGGAUGACCAGCCACACUGGAACUGAGACACGGUCCAGACUCCUACGGGAGGCAGCAGUGGGGAAUAUUGCACAAUGGGCGCAAGCCUGAUGCAGCCAUGCCGCGUGUAUGAAGAAGGCCUUCGGGUUGUAAAGUACUUUCAGCGGGGAGGAAGGGAGUAAAGUUAAUACCUUUGCUCAUUGACGUUACCCGCAGAAGAAGCACCGGCUAACUCCGUGCCAGCAGCCGCGGUAAUACGGAGGGUGCAAGCGUUAAUCGGAAUUACUGGGCGUAAAGCGCACGCAGGCGGUUUGUUAAGUCAGAUGUGAAAUCCCCGGGCUCAACCUGGGAACUGCAUCUGAUACUGGCAAGCUUGAGUCUCGUAGAGGGGGGUAGAAUUCCAGGUGUAGCGGUGAAAUGCGUAGAGAUCUGGAGGAAUACCGGUGGCGAAGGCGGCCCCCUGGACGAAGACUGACGCUCAGGUGCGAAAG
Molecule: ribosomal RNA, 708 nt
Filed under: uncultured Pseudomonadota bacterium
Lineage: Bacteria; Pseudomonadati; Pseudomonadota
Description: bacterial SSU rRNA
Rfam family: Bacterial small subunit ribosomal RNA
Source: RNAcentral